ACUUUAGCGCCACGCCACGUACUGAAAUCGAAGAUGCGUCUUAAAAAUGUAUACGAACGAUAGCUACAUAACCUAAAAGAAAGGAAUACUCUAUCCCAUAAUUCCGGGCGGUUUCUCACGUAAUGAAUUACAAGUUCAUUCACGUCAUCACAAUUAUAUUCCAUAGUGGCAUGUUUUGUUGAUGUUAUUGAUGGUUUGUUUUCAUAGACAGUUUUGUACGACAUAACCUACGUCACGUCGACUAUUAUUUGAGCCAUAUUUGAGCCUUGCCAGAUUCCGAAUGGUCCCGAAGAUUCUCGACUUUAGCCGAAUGACGUGCGGUACUGCGGAAAAAUUAAAAUAUUUUGAUCCCAACGCAGUGCGGUGCGGCAUGCCGGAGGUUGCCGCUGCCGGACUUGCGCCGGGCUCCUGAUCGGUCACCGCAGCAUUUGCCGGAGCUCAACGCAUACAUGGAGUCUUAGCUUAAGGCAAAUGAUUACGAUAUGUUUCAGACUGCCGUUGACGAGACGAAUUUGGAGAGUCGCUAACAUUCACCUCUUCUUCCUCGACCUCCAAGCUGUUCAAUUUAUGCACAAUGGGAUAAAUUAGUGCAAAGUGAAACAUUGGAUUCAUAAAGCUCACCCUUCUUGCUCGAGGCUAUGAAGCAUUUGAAAUCCAGCGUCAAGACUGGGGGGAAAACCUAAGUCAGGAUCCAGCAGCUGCAAAGUCGGCACUUCUCUGCAUACUUUCCCGAAUGCGUCAAGUUCGUCAAAACUUACACCACCAAAGCCGUCGUUUUGUUCCAUCCUGCGGUAUAUAGCAAUUCCCAUUAGAUUCACUGUGAUUUUAAUUUGAUCUUUAAAUUUUACUGAUGAGACAGUCAUCGUAGUUGACUAAAAACGUAUCUAUUGUAGGAAGACUUAGCAGAUAAACCAAGUAGACAGAUCAGAUCAAGUUAGCAUUCGCGAAAUUUCAGAUAAAGAUGAUUGUAUUUUGACCUGCUACUCCCAGCGUCGAGUUCCAUUUCCCUUCGCUCUACUUCCGCUCGUUCCACGGUCUGUUUCAUAUUCAUUUCAAACCUCAGUACAUUUUCCUGAUAAUAAUCAUGCAGAGAUUGAGCUCCACCGAUGCCUGUUUCAUACAGGACACGUUCAACAGCAUCCUGAGAUGUGGAAAUUAGUGAAAUUGCAUCAAAAAUAGAAAUAAUUUAAUAAAUAAAUCAAGAUUCCGCUCACGCACAGGGAACCCGCAUUUAUCCUGCUCCGCUGCGAGUUUGAGUAGCCUUGUCAUACGUUUGAGGAAUUGAUCCGCGAUAUCUGUUACUGCUUCGAUGGCAAUAUCGGAAGAAUCUAAAAUAGAUUAACAAUUUUGGUAGUUAGCUCAUCAAUUUAAAUUAAGAUCAUGCACAGCCAGCAGAAAAUAUAAAUUUACGAACUUUCGAAACCAGUAUGAGCCAACAACACGAUAACAGAAUGCCUCAGCAAGCCGUGUGCUGUUUCUGGUGUUAGGUAUGUUGGGUGAGCUGGAGGUUCGUCAGGUAUUUUUGCACUAUAACGAAUGUUUCAUUUUUUAAAUACAUUUCUGUUUCCGCGGUUCAUUUUCUAUGUAAUUACACGGAGUGCUUACUCUUUUGAGUCUGUCUCCGUCUCCGCAUGCGGAAAUGAAAAAUGAAAUGGAUUCAUCUGUUCUCGAACUUCCAGCAGUGGCAGUCCAUCGAUUUCCGUCGCAGGGCCGGGAGAACCUCCAUUCUCCUGCGAAAGCUGAAUGUUAAUACAUAAAUACGAUUUAAUUGCAUUUUGUACCAAUAAUGAUCCUUACAAGAUCUCGCAACCGCUGGUGAAGGUUGAUGGUGUUUAAUACAUGCGGAUUAAUGUUAGGUAAUCUGAAAAAAUGUAAAGAAGAAUCAAUUACAUAUGAUA
RNAcentral lists this long non-coding RNA (1898 nucleotides) under Neodiprion lecontei (redheaded pine sawfly). RNAcentral's name for it is "uncharacterized LOC124295097". Lineage: Eukaryota; Metazoa; Arthropoda; Insecta; Hymenoptera; Diprionidae. The record is from RNAcentral.